GAGAUGAAGAACCGAACCCAGGAAAAGUUGAACGUAAAACUGUGCAUAAGGCAGUAUGUGAAUUAGCGAGACAGAGGGCUUCUAGGGCCAGCGUCAUAAUAGUUGGACAACUGGGAACUGGAAAAACACGCCUUUGCCGAAAUCUGCUGGGGGAAGAGUUCACUGAAGAAGAUCUGGUGACGAAUGGUAUUGAGGUGUCCGGUUGUGUUCUGGAGAAACACACAGCAGGA
Long non-coding RNA from Lingula anatina, 230 nucleotides. NCBI's taxonomy places the organism in Eukaryota, Metazoa, Brachiopoda, Lingulata, Lingulida, Lingulidae. The record is from RefSeq and is a predicted model, not a curated record.